Molecule: long non-coding RNA, 2913 nt
Filed under: Homo sapiens (human)
Lineage: Eukaryota; Metazoa; Chordata; Mammalia; Primates; Hominidae
Description: HSALNT0019957
Source: RNAcentral
GACGGAUCGCGGGACCGAACGACGGACGCCCGGGGCCGGCGUGGGGCUGGUCGGCUGCCCGGGGCGAGGGCGGGAGACUUCCUGCUCAGAACCAGUCCGACCAGCUUGGCGCUGGGACGCCUCCCCGCGCUGUGCCGCGGCCCGGGGUGCCGAGGAGCUGGGCUGGGGGCGGGGACCCCUGCCGGGAACCCGACUUAGCCCGGAGACGCUCAAGAGCAAGAAGCCGAGCGGAAAAGUUAGCGCAGGUUGUGGAAAUCAUAUGAGUUCCCUGCUAGUGACAUUGGAGUGCACAGAUGAAUAUCGACAAGGCUCCAGGGAGUUCUGAACAGAGGCCAAGGCAGGCCCUGGAGCUGUAUGCUGCUUACAGGAAAAGAGAAAGAGGGGACCCCAAUAGUCUAGGUCCCUGGAUCCUCUGACCCGGGGCCUGACACUGUCAGGGAAGCUGCUGUCUCCCUAGGGACCUACUGAAUGUUCUUCCCAUGGCUGGUCAGUGCUGACACCUCAACACAGGAAGAGAAAUACUCCUAUGAAGUCAUCUGAAGCCUGGUCAUGCCAGGGACACUUCACGAAGGCAGGAACAGUCCUGUUUCUAAAAGCCCAAAAUCUAACAGCCUCUCUACAGAUAUAAAAGCCCAAAGACAUGGAAAGUUUGUAUGCAGACAACCCUAGAAGUAAGGAAAAGUGAAUGACAUAUAUGUCAAUGCCCAGAAAGUUCCUUGAGAUCAGACACUGUACAUUUAUGGGAUACUUUCUAAGUGCCAGCUACUGUACUUGGUGCUGGAUCAGUGCAUCCAUUUCCCGGGGCUCCCGUGAUGAAGUGCCACAAACUGGAUGGCUUUAAACAACAGAAGUUUACUCUCUCACAGUUCUGAAGGUUAGAAGUCUGCCAUGAAGAUGUGAGCACAGCCAGCCUCUCUCCAAAGGCUCCAGAGGAGAAUCCUUCCUUGCUUCUUCCCAGAGCUCCUUGGCAUACAGCUGCAUUACUCCAAGAUUUGCCUCUCUUGUCACACAGCAUUCUGCCUGUGUCUCUUGUUUGUGUUCAAGUAUCCCUCCACCCUAAUUUAGUAUGACCUCAUUUUAGCUUGAUUAUGCCUGCAAAUACCCUAUUUCCAAAUGAGGUCACAUUCACAGGUACCAGAAGUUAUGAAUUGAACACAUCUUUUUUGGGAUGUGUUCUACCCAUUAUAAUUCAUUCUACCCACUAUAAUCACAAGUGGCUUUGACAUUCAGUGACACAAAGAUGAUAAGGACUCGGUUCCUGACCUCAGGACAUUCUCAGUCUAUCAGUGAAGACAAACACAUGCUGGUGAACACACACACAUACACAAGCACACAUAUACCCCGAGCCUCAUUCAAGUCAGACUGUGAUUAAAAAUGGAAAUUGUGUCAUCAGGAGGGAUUGGGGAAGUCUUCACACAAGAAAGAACAUCUAAGUUGGGCCUUGAAGGACUUGAGGUUGGCCCGCAGAUCCAUGGACACCUUGUGCUUGGAGCCCAGCAGGGCCCGGAGCAUGGCGUCAGCCGAGACACGGACUCGACGCAGGGGCGGGCGCUUGAACUUCCCACGGAGGUCCAUCACCUUCAGCUUCAGGUCCUUAAUCUGUAGGCCUAUAAGGAGGAUCAAAGGCUAUAACGAACAUGAAAGCACUUCACAAAGCUUUGCACAGGAUCAGCUCUGCAUGGAAUAGGAUGGUCCCCCCAGGACUGGACCAGCUCUCAGAGUGGGUGAGGAAGAGCUUGUGCUCAGCAAGGAUGCAGAGUCACACCCAACCCUGCUGCAAUACCAGUCCUUCCAGUGACAUGGUACACUGGCACAGCAACUCCCUGGACACUAGGAAGCCCCACAUCCAGAAUCUUCACCUGACGUUUCCAUCUCCUGGGAAUUUGUUCAGCCACUAAAUACCCUACACCCCCUGGACUCCCACCAGGCCUUAACACAGGCUCUUCCCUCUCCUCAGAUGCCAACCCCACCUUCCCACUUUUACCAGUCGUUAGAGUUAACCAAGACAGAGAUACCCCAAAUAUCACUUACCUCGCUUCAGGCAUCCAUCACAGGAAGGACGGGGAAAGAGCAGAACACAGAAAUUUGCAACAGAAACCUUAUGUGAGCUACAAAGCUAUCUGGCCCUUUCCAGAUAAAGCUUGCCAAUCCCAGUGGAGAACAGAAUGGAGUCCAUAGGAAAUAUGUUUGGAAAGUGAGAGCAGCUGGGCGCAGUGGCUCAUGCCUGUAAUCCCAGCACUUUGGGAGGCCAAGGCGGGCAGUUCAUGAGGUAAGGAGUUCAAGACCAGCCUGGCCAAUAUGGUCAAACCCCGUCUCUACUAAUGAUACAAAAAUUAGCCAGCAUGGUGGUGCACGCCUAUAGUCCCAGCUACUCAGGAGGCUGAGGCAGAAGAAUUGCUUGAACCCAGGAGGCGGAGGUUACAGUGAGCCGAGAUCGCACCACUGCACUCCAGCCUGGGUAACAGAAUGAGUCUCCUUCUCAAAAAAAAAAAAAAAAAAAUAAGUGAGAGUGUAGCUCACUCAUGAGGGCCUUGAAGGACAGGCUGAGUUUAGACUUUAUCCUGUGGAAUAAGGGUGGUCAUUGAAGGGCUCAGAGAGAGGAAGGCCUAGAAAGUGAAUGAGCAGAGUGGAUGCUGGAAAACGGGUAGCUGCCACAUGGCACAACUCCAUCCACAGAUGGCAAUGCAACUGGCACCUCCAGGGUGGGGCAGUGGGAGGCCUUGAGUGGGAGAGAAUAAGCCGCAAGGCAGGGCAAAUCCCGUGUUCACCCUAGUCUGUCUUUCCCCUCUCUGGGUUGGUUUUCCUCUCUGCAAAAUUAGGGGUUAAAUCAGUGAGUUUCCUCUUGAUGUUUAUUAUUAAUAAUAAGUAAUUAAAAUAAUAUUUAAUUAAUAUUAUUUGGUUGAAUCCUUUGUC